This 447-nucleotide ribosomal RNA is filed under the name uncultured bacterium. RNAcentral's name for it is "partial 16S ribosomal RNA". It matches the Rfam family "Bacterial small subunit ribosomal RNA", at positions 29 to 523 of the family's 1533-position model. The record is from RNAcentral.
AACGAACGCUGGCGGCAGGCUUAACACAUGCAAGUCGAACGCUCCGCAAGGAGAGUGGCAGACGGGUGAGUAACGCGUGGGAACGUACCUUUCAGUUCGGAAUAACUCAGGGAAACUUGUGCUAAUACCGGAUACGCCCGUAAGAGGAAAGAUUUAUCGCUGAAAGAUCGGCCCGCGUUGGAUUAGCUAGUUGGUGGGGUAAUGGCCUACCAAGGCGACGAUCCAUAGCUGGUCUGAGAGGAUGAUCAGCCACACUGGGACUGAGACACGGCCCAGACUCCUACGGGAGGCAGCAGUGGGGAAUAUUGGACAAUGGGCGAAAGCCUGAUCCAGCCAUGCCGCGUGAGCGAUGAAGGCCCUAGGGUUGUAAAGCUCUCUCACCGAUGAAGAUAAUGACGGUAGUCGGAGAAGAAGCCCCGGCUAACUUCGUGCCAGCCGCCGCAGUAA